GCCGAAAUGAAGCUUUCAAACAAAAUCCUCCAUGGCCACACCAUGCAUGAAGCUUUCUCUCUCCAUCAUCAAGCUAUAAUUUCUGCAAUUAUUCUUCAUUAAAGUUGAUCUACACAUCUUGGGAAACCUAUAGGCAGCAAAAAGUAGAGAAAAUUCCGAGGUUUUAUCAAGGUGAAGUUGAGGUAUUAGAGACACAACUGGGGAGCCCAGCAGACCUACGA
This 221-nucleotide unclassified non-coding RNA is filed under the name Hevea brasiliensis (rubber tree). The record is from RNAcentral. Lineage: Eukaryota; Viridiplantae; Streptophyta; Magnoliopsida; Malpighiales; Euphorbiaceae.